AACCACACUGCGCCAAACCUUAAAGAUCUUUUUUCUCGGAGAAAUGCAUCGCAGAAUAUUUAUGAUUUACGCAAUAGCGAAACUGAUCUCUCGUUAAAAAAACCGAAAACGGAAUUUCUAAAGAAAACAUUUGGAUACAGUGGAGCAAUUCUAUGGAAUAGUCUGCCGCAAGAUGUCAAGGCGGCUGAGUCAAUUACGUCAUUUAAAACAAUGGCGAAAUUGCAUUUAAGCAGAUGAUAAGCUAAUUUCUCCAGGACCAAAUGAUGGGAGGACAAAAUAGAUUGUGGGCGGGAGGGGGGUUAGUUUUGCGUGAGGGUGGGUGGG
RNAcentral lists this long non-coding RNA (324 nucleotides) under Paramuricea clavata. The record is from RNAcentral. Lineage: Eukaryota; Metazoa; Cnidaria; Anthozoa; Malacalcyonacea; Plexauridae.